UACGACUUGGAGCGCUCUUUAUUUUGAAUAUCUCGCUACUCGUGAUUAACUAUUAUUUGAGGGUUUUCUUCCUUUUGUUCAAACGUGGAGCAUUAACAUACUUAUCUGACGAUUUAUUGACCCAAUAAAAACUCAUCGUUUUUACGUUUUCUUCUCAAUCGAUAUGGGCAAUUUACAUCAUCAGGCGUUCGGGAUUUUUUUGGAAGCAUUUAAUCUUUUUAUGCUUUAUCCAAAUCGUCAGAUUUGUCGUUAUAUUUAUAUUUGUUAUUCAUAUGCUCCAACCAAUAAAUUUGGAUCUAAUUCAUUGAACAUGACGCGGCAGCAUCAUGAUUCGAAUUAACUAAAAGGGAGACGAUUUUGACUAACAUCAUCUCGCCUGAAAGUACGUUCGUGCAUCUCGUUGCUCGAGUCUCAAAUGAAGUUUUAGUAAAAAAAAAAAAAUGUUUCGCGUAUAUUUUCGAAAAAAUCUAAUUUCACCGAAAAAACUUUGUUCCUGCAUUGCCAUAAAAAACUUUUUGUAUAUUAACCUCCUGAAAAAAGUUGUUCCACAAUCGAAACGGUAGUAUUUAGAAAAUUUGACCUUUGGUAAACAUUGAAUUAUGAAAAGUCUCUAAAAAAGACAAAAUUUUCGAUAAAUUCAUUGUGAACGGCAGACAAGAUUGAAAUCGCCUCUGACACCAAUCAAUGAUUGACAUUUGGAAAAAUAGAUUAUAUAAUGAACAAAUGAAAACAAGAUAUUCAGAUAUUAAAAAAACGUCCGAUAUGAAAUAAGUGAAAACCUCGCCGAAAUCGUGUUGCAUAAUCGCGCGUUUCUGAAUCAACAUGGGCGCACGACUCGAUGCUUCCCUACGUAGUUCAAAAUAACUCGAUGACGUACGCACUCUCGCGUACUUGGAUAUACAUUGUGACAAAAAUAUUCGUUACGCUCCAUUUUUUCAACAUAAAAAAACCCUAAGAAAAGAAUUUCAACGCCAUCUCGAUUUCGAGUAGAACAACUAAAGUGCAAAGUCGUAAAAGAAAAUUUUAAACGGACGAAUCGGAUGUUAUUCAUCAUGUGUUAGAUGAAGAAUUGGUGUGGGGCUCAUUCUCCACAAUGUAGGGCGAAGAGUCGGGUUGGAACAGGGAGUAAGACCUUGAAAAAAUGCACUAUUUCGGACGACGUGACUCGAAAACCAUCUCCAAAAUAUUAGCGAUAAAUCCUAAUGGGCUACAGUCCAAAAUGUAUCCUAACGACAUUCAUUGAUGCCUGCGACUAUAACAAUAAAUAUUGUGUAUUGA
Long non-coding RNA from Venturia canescens, 1278 nucleotides. RefSeq lists it as uncharacterized. NCBI's taxonomy places the organism in Eukaryota, Metazoa, Arthropoda, Insecta, Hymenoptera, Ichneumonidae. The transcript has 2 exons. The record is from RefSeq and is a predicted model, not a curated record.